UGGAAUAGAGAAGGCUCACCAUUGCACAAUCUGAUCUGCUGUCUAAAUUAUCUACUGCUUAUCUGGACCUCUAGACUGAGCCUCAGAACCAGAGAGGUAAGGGAGAGGGGUCAAUACAGAUGUACUGGUACACAGAGCAAAUCCAAAAUAAUCAUUUAUAUUCAACAUAUAUGAGAGCAAUUUAAAGCAGUUCAUAAAUAUAUCAUAAAGUAAAAAAAUC
Molecule: long non-coding RNA, 220 nt
Filed under: Capsicum annuum
Lineage: Eukaryota; Viridiplantae; Streptophyta; Magnoliopsida; Solanales; Solanaceae
Description: long non-coding RNA (CANN_LNC006319)
Source: RNAcentral